GCAUAUCAUAUACUUAAUUUUCAGUAACUGGCAGUCUGCAAACAGCAUGAAUGUCUUAGAAGCCCUCUGGGGAUAUGCUGGCAAGAGUAUGGAGUAUCCAUAACAGGUUUUAAAUCUGAGGUCCUCACCCAGGAGCAAACAGCUUGAAAUUAUCCCAGCCUUACUAGGGGGCAAAAGUGUGCUAUCAGCAGCUGGGGAAUGGCCUUUCGCUGAGGGGCAUGACUCUGUAAAUCACCUUGCAUCACAGCAAGAUAAGAGAGUUCACUUGAGUGACACUGAUGAUGGAUAUCACAGACGGACUGAAGCACAUGAUCUAAACACAAGAAAUCUCAGGAAAAAGACAGCAGUCACUGAUCUAUUUAAGUUAGAACCUGCACUUGAUGUGGCUAGAAGAUUGAAAGACAGUAAAGUUUCACAGGACAAAUGUCAUAAAAUACAAACCUCUACAUCUUGCUAACUGUCAAAGUCUGAGGAUCGUCUUUAUCACAAACAACCGAAAAAGACGGUACAUUUAACUCUCACACCAAAAUCCAAUAAUUCCCAAAGUACUCAUGCUAUGAGUUAUCUGUUACCUAGCACCAUGCUUCUCUGCUAAGUGAUGAGAGCUUCUUUUUUGAUACGUUCCUCUGUAGUUGACUAUCUUGAGUUUGACUAUGCCUGGGGUAUUUCAGCUGUAAAAAGAAGUUAUUUUUUAAACCAUAUGAUGUGCAUGGGAAAUGUUUAGCACAUGGCUGCUGCUCACAGUACUGCCAUGUAAUCAUGCAAGCUCUAAACAAGCUACUGAACUCUGACAGCUGAUUCUCUGUGAUUAGACAGCUAUGGUCAGGCAUAAUACCUAGUUUAGACACUGCUCAGAUUUAUUUACAUUCCACCACUGCAUACAGCAUUGGCCGGUCUGUUUUGAAAAUCUUACCCAAAGUCAGACAAAUGCCGAAUAUCCUUUGGAGUGAAGGCUUUGAAAACCGAAGUCUUCAAGGACAGGAUCUUUGUCAAAAAGGGUAAAUGUGUCUGCAAUAAACUGCUUGGUCAAAGGACUGUGUAGGUUAAG
This 1048-nucleotide long non-coding RNA is filed under the name Numida meleagris (helmeted guineafowl). RNAcentral describes it as "lncRNA (ENSNMEG00000022439.1)". Lineage: Eukaryota; Metazoa; Chordata; Aves; Galliformes; Numididae. The record is from RNAcentral.